This 506-nucleotide ribosomal RNA is filed under the name uncultured Glomeromycotina. Its description in RNAcentral is "partial small subunit ribosomal RNA". It matches the Rfam family "Eukaryotic small subunit ribosomal RNA", at positions 591 to 1092 of the family's 1831-position model. Lineage: Eukaryota; Fungi; Glomeromycota. The record is from RNAcentral.
CCAAUAGCGUAUAUUAAAGUUGUUGCAGUUAAAAAGCUCGUAGUUGAAUUUCGGGAUUGACACAUCGGUCGUGCCUUAAGGGGUAUGAACUGGUGUAGUCAAUUUCUCACCUUCUGGAGAACCGCGAUGCCCUUAAUUGGGUGUCGCGGGAAACCAGGACCUUUACUUUGAAAAAAUUAGAGUGUUUAAAGCAGGCAUUUUGCUUGAAUACAUUAGCAUGGAAUAAUAAAAUAGGACGGCAUGAUUCUAUUUUGUUGGUUUCUAGGAUCACCGUAAUGAUUAAUAGGGAUAGUUGGGGGCAUUAGUAUUCAAUUGGCAGAGGUGAAAUUCUUGGAUUUAUUGAAGACUAACUACUGCGAAAGCAUUUGCCAAGGAUGUUUUCAUUAAUCAAGAACGAAAGUUAGGGGAUCGAAGACGAUCAGAUACCGUCGUAGUCUUAACCAUAAACUAUGCCGACUAGGAAUCAGACGAUGUUAAUUUUUUAAUGACUCGUUUGGCACCUUACG